CCCUGUGUCUUCUGUGUAAUAGAUCAUUAUUUUUAGUGCAAAGAAAAACGUCAAAGUAAAAACUAAAUAAAAUGGAUAAAUGUUGAUGACUUUUCCGAGCGUAACUUGAAGCGAGAAGGAUAAAGUGAUCGUCCAACUUUUUAAGAGCCAUCCUUCUUUAUGACUACGCCAAUCCCGAUUAGUUCUUGCUGAAAAGGGAAUAGAUCCGCUCAAAAUCGUUUUUUUCGUGCAAAGUGGUUUCGUCAUCGAGAAAAUUUUUUUUGGUUGAGCUGCUCAUGCGCUACCGUAAUCACCGCAAGCCUCUUCUAAAAAACGGCGUUUCGGGGGAGGGGCGAUACCAACAAUAAAUAAUAAAAUUUUUUUAAAUAAAAACACCAAAAUGUAUUGUAGAGUAAGAGUUACCCACAUGCUUCAUUUGAAUAAAAGUUCUAAAACAUAUUUAAAAAAAAGUAUGACAAUCGUCCAUUUUUAGGGCUCACAAGGUAUAUAACCCCUUAAAUAUACGAGUAUAAGUAUUUAUAAAACAAAAGG
This is a long non-coding RNA of Anastrepha ludens (Mexican fruit fly), 531 nucleotides long. RefSeq lists it as uncharacterized. Lineage: Eukaryota; Metazoa; Arthropoda; Insecta; Diptera; Tephritidae. The transcript has 3 exons. The record is from RefSeq and is a predicted model, not a curated record.